This 336-nucleotide unclassified non-coding RNA is filed under the name soil metagenome. RNAcentral's name for it is "partial contains 5.8S ribosomal RNA, internal transcribed spacer 2, and large subunit ribosomal RNA". The stretch from base 1 to 120 matches the Rfam family "5.8S ribosomal RNA", at positions 35 to 154 of the family's 154-position model. The record is from RNAcentral.
GAUGAAGAACGUAGCGAAAUGCGAUAAGUAAUGUGAAUUGCAGAAUUCAGUGAAUCAUCGAAUCUUUGAACGCACAUUGCGCCCGCCAGUAUUCUGGCGGGCAUGCCUGUUCGAGCGUCAUUUCAACCAUCAAGCCCCAGGCUUGUGUUGGGGACCUGCGGCUGCCGCAGGCCCUGAAAACCAGUGGCGGGCUCGCGGUCACACCGGGCGUAGUAGAUUUUAUCUCGCUCAGGGCGUGCUGCGGGUUCCGGCCGUUAAAAAGCCUUUUUUACCCAAGGUUGACCUCGGAUCAGGUAGGAAGACCCGCUGAACUUAAGCAUAUCAAUAAGCGGAGGA